CGAACGCUACGGCAGGCUUAUACCUGCAGUUCGUAGGGGCACGCAUUUACUUCGGUCCAAAUGGCGACCGGCGCACGGGUGAGUAACGCGUAUGCAACCUACCUUUAACUGGGGCAUAGCUCGAGGAAACUCGAAUUAAUUCCCCAUAGUACAUUAUAAUAUCUCAUGAUAUAAAUGUUAAAGAUUUAUCGGUUAAAGAUGGGCAUGCGUCUGAUUAGUUUGUUGGUAAGGUAACGGCUUACCAAGACUACGAUCAGUAGGGGGUCUGAGAGGAUGAUCCCCCACACUGGUACUGAGACACCGACCACACAUCUACAGAUGGCAGCAAGUAAGGAAUAUUGGGCAAUGGGCGCAAGCCUGACCCAGACCAUGCCGCAGUGCAGGAUGACGACCCUAUGGGUUGUAAACUGACUUUUAUAUAGGAAAGAAAAUACU
Molecule: ribosomal RNA, 435 nt
Filed under: uncultured Bacteroidota bacterium
Lineage: Bacteria; Pseudomonadati; Bacteroidota
Description: bacterial SSU rRNA
Rfam family: Bacterial small subunit ribosomal RNA
Source: RNAcentral